Molecule: non-coding RNA, 2710 nt
Organism: Durio zibethinus
Lineage: Eukaryota; Viridiplantae; Streptophyta; Magnoliopsida; Malvales; Malvaceae
Source: RefSeq, a predicted model, not a curated record
CUCCUUGCUCUGCUUUUCCCUUUUAGCCCAAACAUAAACAGCCUUUUUCUUCUCAACUUUCCUUUUUCCUUCUUUUUUUUUUUAGGGUUAGGGUUUCUCUUCUAAGAAAAUGUCGUAGAAACCCCCUUUUUCUUUCUAUAUAUUGCAGGAAUUUUCUCUGGGCCAACUUUCCAGGUCAACUAUGGCUUGAUUCUUUGAUUUUCCGAUUUAAGUUUCUCAGCUAAACCCACAUAGGACAAGUCCACUUCUUGAACAAUUAGAAGCUAUGUACCAGGAAGGAGCCCCUGAGUAUGUUAUUGAUCAGGGAAUGUACUACCCUACUGCCACCAACUAUGGAUAUUAUUGUACAGGUUUUGAAUCACCCGUUGAAUGGGAGGACCACCAGAAUAUUUUUAUUGCAGAUGGUCCAGAUCUCCAAUAUGCGGGUGCCCAAACUGAAACUAUGCCUUAUGUAUAUUACACACCUAGCUAUGGGUAUGCACAGUCUCCAUACAACCCAUACAAUCCUUACAUUCCUGGUGCUAUGAUGGGUAACAGCCCAUUUAUAGGGAUGCAACAAUAUUACACUGUCCCCCCUUAUCAAAACCCUGUAUCUCCAACUGCGUGUGUUCCUGUUGUCAUUCAACCGGAUGGCAUUGCAAGUAGUUCAACAGACUCUUUAUUAGAUACUCGUGAAUCAAUCGCUAAUAGACCUGAUGGAAGAGGAGUUAAACAUAACCUUGCUUCAGCAUCUGCAGCCUUUUCUAGAAACUCUUCAAAGUCUGCUCCAAAUCAGACAGAUUCCUUGACCCGGGUAUCAGAUGGACAAAGUAAGCAUUCUUCAAUCCGUGGAAGCAUUCCUGAUAGUUCUAGUUCUGCUUCAGCACGUGCUCAUCUGGGUAGAAUUGCUUCUGGUUCCAUUCAGCCUAUCGGCAACAUUCCUGGUGGGAGACUUCCAUCUCAUUGUAAUCAAUUAAAAACGGAUCUUCCUGUUGGUAAUGCCUUUUCUGACUAUGUAUCAAGUGCUCCUGGACGUGGAGCUCUGGAUAAGUUUCAAACCAAGAUCCGUGUUGGCAGGGUUUUGAAUGAUGCACAUGGAUUCCCAGAUACAUUGGGUGAACAGAAUCGAGGCCCUAGAACCAACAGAUUAAAAAACCAACUCAUGGUUAAAGGCUACACUGGUAAAGCUGAAAAUAGUGAUGCUGAAGGAAACAUCAUUAUCUAUACUGACCAAUAUAACAAGGACGAUUUUCCAAUUGGCUAUGUUGAUGCAAAGUUUUUUGUAAUAAAAUCAUAUAGUGAGGAUGAUGUACACAAGAGCAUCAAAUACAAUGUUUGGUCCUCUACACCCCACGGGAACAAGAAACUGGAGAGUGCUUUUAAAGAUGCACAGAAAAUAGCUGCAGGAAAACCUAGUGGCUGCCCGAUCUUCCUGUUCUUUUCUGUUAAUGGCAGUGGACAAUUCUGUGGUGUUGCGGAGAUGAUUGGCCCAGUUGACUUCCAGAAGGAUAUGGUUUUUUGGCAGCAAGAUAAGUGGAGUGGAAGCUUCCCUGUCAAGUGGCAUAUCAUUAAAGAUGUUCCAAAUAGCCAUUUUAGACACAUCAUAUUAGAGAACAAUGAAAACAAGCCUGUGACUAAUAGCAGGGAUACACAAGAGAUAAUAUACAAGCAAGGUAUGGAGAUGCUGAGAGUAUUCAAAAAUCACACAAUGAAGACCUCUUUACUCGAUGACUUUAUGUACUAUGAGAAUCGUCAAAGAAUCAUACAGGAAGAGAAAGCCAGGUUACUAAUUAAAAGCUUUGAGAGCCCAGUCCUAGCACCUGCAUUGGAUCCUGCCAAUAAGCUAAAAUAUGUUGAGCUACUUCUGAAUGAAAAUGAGAAAACUACCAUGCAAGGAGAUUCUAACAUGUUGAAGAGAACAGUUCCUUCAUAUGGUCAGCAGGUUUCUGCCGAUUCAGAUAUAACUAAUGCAAGAAUGAUGAAUGAAAAUGUAGAGAGAAUUGCAGUUGAAGCCAAAGAUGAUGCAUCUACUUUAAAGAUUGGCUCACUCACUAUAAAUCCAAAGCAGGAUGAGUCUGAAACCUCUGCAGAUGCUGCUAUGGAUACUGAUGCUAUUGAGGUGGUAACUGUAGGAUCAGUGCCUGUAAAAGUCAACGGAUUUACUGAAUCUUCUGGUUUUCUAACUGUUGGUACUAUUCCUCUUAAUCCAAAGACGCUACAGCUUGAUGAAGGAGGUGUUUCUGCUAAAAGGGGUAUUAAUCAUGCCGAGGCUUAUGAUUAACUGGGGCUAAUUUUUCAGCUGGAUCAUACUCAAACCUGUUAGUUAUAGUGCAGUCUUGACUGUUGUAAAUCUGAGUGUAUCAUCAUACUCGUUGUUAAAGAAGGAUGGUUAAUCGAAAUACUUGUUCAGAAUGUUACUAAAUGAAACUCUGCUUGGGACACUUCACUUGCUUCAGAUUGGUUUCUCAGAGAAUGAGGUUCGAUAGCAAUUCACAAGUUCGCUGAGUAGUUGCUCUGACCACUUUGAACGUUCAUGAAUGCCAUUUCGCAGUUAGACUUUAUAAAUUUAAUUAUGACAUACUCUCUGUCUUAAGCCUAAGCUGUUUUAAAUAUGUUGGAUAUGAGUAAAGUGAAGCCAGUUUGAGAAUAAAAAAGCACUUCUUCAUGUUUUUGGGGUCAAGAAAUAUUAACCUUGGGGAAUCUUGCAAAGGUAAAAAGACCAAAGGAAUAG